RNAcentral lists this ribosomal RNA (500 nucleotides) under uncultured bacterium. RNAcentral's name for it is "partial 16S ribosomal RNA". It matches the Rfam family "Bacterial small subunit ribosomal RNA", at positions 28 to 507 of the family's 1533-position model. The record is from RNAcentral.
GACGAACGCUGGCGGCGUGCUUAACACAUGCAAGUCGAACGGGCCUGUCUUCUUUUUUGGGGGGUGGGUUGAGUGGCGAACGGGUGAGCAUCACGUGAGUAACCUGCCCUUCGGUCCUGGAUAACCGCUUGAAAGGGCGGCUAAUACGGGGUGGUCCGGUUGGUCCGCAUGGGCUGGUCGGGAUAGAUUCACUGUUUUUGGUGUUUCGGCGGGGGAUGGGCUCGCGGCCUAUCAGCUUGUUGGUGGGGUGAUGGCCUACCAAGGCGGUGACGGGUAGCCGGCCUGAGAGGGUGGGCGGCCACACUGGGACUGAGAUACGGCCCAGACUCCUGCGGGAGGCAGCAGUGGGGGGUAUUGCACAAUGGGCGGAAGCCUGAUGCAGCGACGUCGCGUGAGGGAUGGAGGCCUUCGGGUUGUGAACCUCUGUUUCCGGUGGUGAAGGCCCUGUCCGUGUGGUGGGGUUGACGGUAGCCGGGGAUGAAGCGCCGGCUAACUACGUG